GAUGAAGAACGUAGCAAAAUGCGAUAAGUAAUGUGAAUUGCAGAAUUCAGUGAAUCAUCGAAUCUUUGAACGCACAUUGCGCCCGCUGGUAUUCCGGCGGGCAUGCCUGUUCGAGCGUCAUUUCAACCCUCAAGCCACCGGGUUUGGUGUUGGGGAUCGGCUCUGCCCUUCUGGGCGGUGCCGCCCCCGAAAUACAUUGGCGGUCUCGCUGCAGCCUCCAUUGCGUAGUAGCUAACACCUCGCAACUGGAACGCGGCGCGGCCAUGCCGUAAAACCCCAACUUCUGAAUGUUGACCUCGGAUCAGGUAGGAAUACCCGCUGAACUUAAGCAUAUCAAUAAGCGGAGGA
This 348-nucleotide unclassified non-coding RNA is filed under the name soil metagenome. Its description in RNAcentral is "partial contains 5.8S ribosomal RNA, internal transcribed spacer 2, and large subunit ribosomal RNA". The stretch from base 1 to 120 matches the Rfam family "5.8S ribosomal RNA", at positions 35 to 154 of the family's 154-position model. The record is from RNAcentral.